RNAcentral lists this ribosomal RNA (2001 nucleotides) under Triticum aestivum (bread wheat). RNAcentral's name for it is "partial small subunit ribosomal RNA". The record is from RNAcentral. Lineage: Eukaryota; Viridiplantae; Streptophyta; Magnoliopsida; Poales; Poaceae.
AUGCAUAUCCCGGCGGCCGCCGCCGUGCUCUGCUCAGCCACACUGCUGCUAACUGCCGUCCUCGCCACCCACGCCCAAAACACCACCACGCCGACGUUGCCGUCAUCGUCGACCUCCUGCGACCCAGCGAUGUCUGCGCAUCAAGUAGACAAGUACCCGUUCUGGCUCGGCGGCACGCACCCGCCGGUCGGCUACCGCGCCUUCCAGGUCAGGUGCGACUGCAACGGCACGGCCUCUCUCAAGAACUCCAUCUGGACGUACCAGAUCACGGAGAUCUCUUACGGCAACGACAACGGCACCUUCCCGGUCGCCAACACCGAUCUCUCCGACGGCAGCUGCGACAUCAAACUCAAAGUGAACGCCUCCUCCGACCUCGGCUACGCGCCCUUCGGCAUCAGCGCCACCAACCAGGAGCUCUUCUUCCUCUACAGCUGCACCGACCUUCAGGCGCAGCCGCUGCCGCUUGCUUGGGCGCCCGUUAACUGCACGAAUGCCAACACGUCCAUAUUCAACUCGUUCGCGUUGCUCUCCGGCGGGUACAAGCCCGACAACAAAUGGGAGCCGAUACCGGGGAGCUGCACCGUGUCGAUGAUGCCGGUGCUGGGGUACCCUGGGGCGACCGGGGCGGACUACCGGCGGCUGAUGAACAGCGGGUUUCUUGUCGAGUAUACGGCCGGCGACUGCAGGGUGUGCGAGGAGAGUGGAGGCUUUUGCCGGAUUAACACCACCUACGAUAUCUUCGAGUGCCGCUGCUCUGACGGCAUGUCUGACUUCAUCAUCUGUCGUAGCUCAGGUAGUGAGAGGAGAGGGAAGAAGAUUAUGCUAAUAGGUACUACAUCAGCUGCUGCAACCUUUCUCUGUGCAUGUCUUUAUGUGCUGAUAUGGCAUAGAAAAGGGAAAAGACUAUGGUUUCUCCUUUGCAAGAAGGCUAGCAGCAACACUGAGAAGAAUUACGAGGCAAUGAUAGUAUCAUAUGGAUCCCUAGCUCCAAAAAGAUACAUGUACUCAGAGGUAAUGAAGAUAACUUCUUAUCGUAAUGAUCAGCUUGGUAAAGGCGGCUAUGGUGUGGUUUUCAAAGGAAGACUACACGAUGAUCGUCUAGUUGCUGUGAAAUUUUUGCAUGACUGCAAAGGAAAUGGGGACGAGUUUGUGAAUGAGGUUAUGAGCAUUGGCAGGACCUCUCAUGUUAAUGUUGUUAGCUUAUUUGGGUUCUGUUUGGAGGGAUCAAAACGAGCUCUUAUAUAUGAGUACAUGCCCAAUGGUUCCUUGGACAAGUACAUUUACUCAGAGAACCCCAAAGAAAUUUUAGGAUGGGAGAGGCUCUAUACUAUAGCAAUCGGGAUUGCUCGUGGCCUCGAAUACUUUCACCAUAGCUGUAAUACACGCAUCGUCCACUUUGAUAUCAAGCCCCAAAAUAUCCUUCUAGAUAAAGAUUUUAGCCCAAAGAUUGCCGAUUUUGGUCUAGCUAAAUUGUGUCAUACAAAGGAGAGCAAGCUUUCAAUGAUUGGUGCUAGAGGAACAAUUGGGUUCAUCGCUCCAGAAGUUCACUCUCGAACAUUCGGAGUGGUUUCAACGAAGUCAGAUGUUUAUAGUUAUGGAAUGAUGCUUUUGGAAAUGGUUGGAGGCAGGAGAAAUGUAAAAUCAAUUGUUGCAAAAUCCAGCGAAAAGUAUUUUCCAGACUGGAUUUACGACCACUUUGCGCAAGAUGAUGGAUUACAAGCAUGUGAAGUCAUAGGAGAAAUUGAGGAAAACGCAAGAAAGAUGACCUUAAUUGGUUUGUGGUGCGUACAAAUACUGCCUACAUAUCGCCCUACCAUAACCAAAGUUCUAGAAAUGUUCGAGAGAAGCUCAGAUGACAUGGAUAUGCCACCGAAGCAAAACUUUUCUGGAUUGCUUGAAAGUUCAGCUCACAAUAUGGAUGUACAAAGUUCAAGUUCUACCAGAUCUGAGGAGAUCAGCCUUGUGAAUUCAAAAUUUGUACAACAAUCGCCAACUCUUUGA